CAGUCGCCGCGGGAACACCGAGGGUGCAAGCGUUAAUCGGAAUUACUGGGCGUAAAGCGCGCGUAGGUGGUUUGUUAAGUUGGAUGUGAAAUCCCCGGGCUCAACCUGGGAACUGCAUUCAAAACUGACUGACUAGAGUAUGGUAGAGGGUGGUGGAAUUUCCUGUGUAGCGGUGAAAUGCGUAGAUAUAGGAAGGAACACCAGUGGCGAAGGCGACCACCUGGACUAAUACUGACACUGAGGUGCGAAAGCGUGGGGAGCAAACAGGAUUAGAUACCCCGGUAGUCCCUGUCUCUUAUAC
This 301-nucleotide ribosomal RNA is filed under the name uncultured bacterium. Its description in RNAcentral is "partial 16S ribosomal RNA". It matches the Rfam family "Bacterial small subunit ribosomal RNA", at positions 509 to 807 of the family's 1533-position model. The record is from RNAcentral.